Molecule: long non-coding RNA, 1113 nt
Organism: Lytechinus variegatus (green sea urchin)
Lineage: Eukaryota; Metazoa; Echinodermata; Echinoidea; Temnopleuroida; Toxopneustidae
Exons: 4
Source: RefSeq, a predicted model, not a curated record
UAUUUAUGAUUUUUAGUUAAAACACAAUUUGAAUUGACUUUGUACACAAAAUCACGUUUUGAGCAAUUUUGGUCCGACAUGCACAAUACAGAAUGUUGCUUAAUUUUAUGCUACCCGGGUAACGCAUAAUUUGUCUCAAAAGUUGUGCAAAACUUGAAAGUAAAAAGUCAGUGUCGUCAAAAAAAUUUCGCUCGGCAAAAACAUUGCGCGAACCCCUCCCCGUCUAGAUAGGGUUAGUGCCAGCUACGCGCAAGCUUUUAAAUCUUGCUUGAGCAAGGUAUUUUUAACUUCAUAAAAAAAUUUCUGUCUUGACUCCUGACAAAGCAAUGUAAGGGCAAUGUGCAUAUUUUGUGUCAAGUUUUACUGCGUGGGUGCAUCUAGAUCUUUCGUGAUCGCAGACUGCAUAUGAUAGGAGAAAGAUGGACCAAAAAAAAUAGUGGCAAUGACCUUAGUUUAUGUGUAUUCAAAUUUGUUGUGAGAUUCUACAUGUAUGAGCCGAAGUGAUAAGUGAAACACAAAAAGCUACAUCCCGCAAAUAAUGCUUGAUGAAUUGACAUUUUAUAACGUGGUUAAAUUCUAAUUAUAACCAAUUCUAUAGCAAGAUUCUAAUGUAAAAGGUGGUUAGUUAGUAGCAUGUUGAUGGUCUUUACUCAGAUCGAAGAGAUGGAGAGCUUAUCAAGAAGAGGGACGAGCUUCUUGAGUCGGAUGAAGAAGCGACAACAAGCAGAUCCACUGCCAGCAAGAGGCCAUCAAGGCGACCCCUGCGGUUUUUAGAAGACGAACUUGAUUCGGACACUUGCUUUCAACCAGACGAGAAAAAAAAUUCGAAGAAGGUGAAAUUGGCUCACCAGACCAGAGAUAAGAUACUCUUAGAUCGCCUGGUGAAAAAGAAAGAGCUGGAGCCAUUGAAUGAGAAGACUGAAAUCGCAAAAUUGACGGAGCAAAAUGCAGCACUUCAGUGCCAGCUAGAAAAAGUCACGAAGGAAAGAGACAGCUUAAUUGCUGCAAUGGCUUGUUUGAAUGAGCUCCCUGAGUUGUUGAAAAAAAUGACGGCUGUUCGCACUCCACAGUCGUCUCCACGUACCAGUCAAUCAACACCCUCACCUAGAUUGC